AUUCCUACGGGAGGCAGCAGUAGGGAAUCUCCACAAUGGACGAAAGUCUGAUGGAGCAACGCCGCGUGAGUGAUGAAGGUCGUAAGGUCGUAAAACUCUUUUCAGGGACAUUAAAGCUCCGGCUCUAACAGAGCCUGGAGUCUGACUCUCCCUGGAAUAAGCCCCAGCCAACUACGUGCCAGCAGCUGCGGUAAUACGUAGGGGGCGAGCGUUAUUCGGAAUUACUGGGUGUAAAGGGUAUGUAGGCGGCCUCAUAAGUCGCGUGUCAAAGUCCAGUGCUUAACGCUGGGUCCGCACGUGAUACUGUGUGGCUAGAGGGCUGGAGAGGUGAGCGGAAUUCCCGGUGUAGUGGUAAAAUACGUAGAUAUCGGGAGGAACACCAGCGGCGUAGGCGGCUCACUAGACAGUUUCUGACGCUAAGAUACGAAAGCGUGGGGAGCAAACAGGAUUAGAUACCCUGGUAGUCCACGCCCUAAACGAUGGAUACUUGGUGUUGGGGGGUUGCCCUCAGUGCCGGAGCUAACGCGUUAAGUAUCCCACCUGGGGACUACGGCCGCAAGGCUAAAACUCAAAGGAAUUGACGUGGGCCCGCACAAGCAGCGAGGUAUGUGGUUUAAUUCGAAGCAACGCGAAGAACCUUACCAGGCCUUGACAUCCAAUGAACUUUCCAGAGAUGGAUUGGUGCCUUCGGGAACAUUGAGACAGGUGCUGCAUGGCUGUCGUCAGCUCGUGUCAUGAGAUGUUGGGUUAAGUCCCGCAACGAGCGCAACCCUUGUCAUUAGUUGCUACGAAAGAGCACUCUAACGAGACUGCCGGUGACAAACCGGAGGAAGGUGGGGAUGACGUCAAGUCCUCAUGGCCCUUAUGGGUAGGGCUUCACACGUCAUACAAUGGUACAUACAGAGGGCCGCCAACCCGCGAGGGGGAGCUAAUCCCAGAAAGUGUAUCGUAGUCCGGAUUCUAGUCUGCAACUCGACUACAUGAAGUUGGAAUCGCUAGUAAUCGCGGAUCAGCAUGUCGCGGUGAAUACGUUCCCGGGCCUUGUACACACCGCCAUCCAUAUUUCUAGU
This 1070-nucleotide ribosomal RNA is filed under the name uncultured Thioalkalivibrio sp. Its description in RNAcentral is "bacterial SSU rRNA". It matches the Rfam family "Bacterial small subunit ribosomal RNA", at positions 335 to 1409 of the family's 1533-position model. Lineage: Bacteria; Pseudomonadati; Pseudomonadota; Gammaproteobacteria; Chromatiales; Ectothiorhodospiraceae. The record is from RNAcentral.